CUUGAGGAAGCUGCGGCAGCCUUACCCAUUUCUGCAUAUUGCCGGCCUAUCCGACCUGCUGCUAGGCAACUACUACUACUUCCGUUGGAUAGAUGCUAUCUUGGGUACGACUGAGUAGUGUCGGCUAUACUUCAACCCAGACAUUAACGAAGCAAAUAACUUGAUUAUAAGGUUCAGAGAGCUCCUAGCACUUUCUCCGACCAAAGAAGUCUUUCAAGCCAGAUUUUCUUUCAAGAUAACAAUAAAACCUGGGAGCAUCCCUGUCCAUGCAUGAAACAGUACUCGAGAUAUAGAGUGCUACUGUCUUACAUUUCUCAAUAUCCCUAGCUUUAUUAUCAAUAUUCUGAUCAUCAUUAUAUUUUGUUGGCACACAAUUAUAUUUUGUUUAUUUUAUUGAUCUAUUUUCUUCCUAGGAUGAAUGCGGAUUGUUUUCACGUGAUGAUACGUGCAGUGCGUUGCUAGGUCAAAUCGGUGAAUUUGUGGCAGCUCUUUUCGU
Long non-coding RNA from Triticum aestivum (bread wheat), 496 nucleotides. RefSeq lists it as uncharacterized. Lineage: Eukaryota; Viridiplantae; Streptophyta; Magnoliopsida; Poales; Poaceae. The transcript is spliced from 3 exons. The record is from RefSeq and is a predicted model, not a curated record.